GUGAGGAAUAGAUAGGUAACGUACCCCGGACUCAGGAAUAGCGGCCGGAACUUCGGUUCCUUUGCGAAAGUGCCGGUAAUACCUGAUGAUGUCAUUGGAUCGCAUGGUCCGAUGAUCAAGGGUCCGCUGGUCUGGGAGCGGCCUAUCUCCUAUCAGCUUGUUGGUGGGGUAACGGCCUACCAAGGCAACGACAGGUACCAGGCGUGAGAGCGCGAUCUGGCACAUCGGGACUGAGACACUGCCCGGACAUCUACGGAUGGCUGCAGCAACGAAUCUUCCGCAAUGGGCGAAAGCCUGACGGAGCGACGCCGCGUGUAGGAUGAAGCACUUCGGUGUGUAAACUACUGUCAGGGGUUAGGAAGAUAGUGACCAACCCCACAGAAGCCUCGCUAACU
RNAcentral lists this ribosomal RNA (395 nucleotides) under uncultured bacterium. Its description in RNAcentral is "bacterial SSU rRNA". It matches the Rfam family "Bacterial small subunit ribosomal RNA", at positions 106 to 502 of the family's 1533-position model. The record is from RNAcentral.